This 497-nucleotide ribosomal RNA is filed under the name uncultured bacterium. RNAcentral's name for it is "partial 16S ribosomal RNA". It matches the Rfam family "Bacterial small subunit ribosomal RNA", at positions 29 to 507 of the family's 1533-position model. The record is from RNAcentral.
AGUGAACGCUGGCGGCAGGCCUAACACAUGCAAGUCGAACGGACACACAGUGAGCGUGCGCCCCUGACGGUAGCGACUGACGGGUGAGUAACGCGUGGAUAACCUUCCUAUUAUACUGGGGGAACAACGGAGAACCACAGAUAAUACCGCAGAAUAUGUUCUACGGGAGAGAUCAAGGGAUAAUGGCGGUUUGCCCGUCACUUAUAGCUGGUGUCGGGCCGGAUUAGCUAGUGGGUAAGGUAACGGCCUACCAAGGCGACGAUGCGUAGCCGACCGGAGAGGGUGAUCAGCCACACUGGAACUGAGACACGGUCCAGACUCCUACGGGAGGCAGCAGUGGGGAAUAUUCGGCAAUGGGCGCAAGCCUGACCCAGCAACGCCGCGUGAGUGAUGAAGGUCUUCGGAUCGUAAAGCUCUGUUAUUGGGAAAGAAAAAAUGUGUAUUUAUCCACGGAUGUUCUGACGGUACCUAAUGAGAAAGCACCGGCUAACUACGUG